GGGCACUUAGCUCAGCGGCAGAGCGCUGCACUCACAUUGCAGAGGUCACAGGUCCGAUCCCUGUAGUGCCCA
This 72-nucleotide transfer RNA is filed under the name bacterium. Its description in RNAcentral is "tRNA-Val". It matches the Rfam family "tRNA". From Rfam's summary of the family: Transfer RNA (tRNA) molecules are approximately 80 nucleotides in length. The record is from RNAcentral.